Molecule: long non-coding RNA, 1368 nt
Filed under: Pan troglodytes (chimpanzee)
Lineage: Eukaryota; Metazoa; Chordata; Mammalia; Primates; Hominidae
Description: long non-coding RNA NONPTRT014488
Source: RNAcentral
UCUCUGGGGAGACUUCUUUCUUACAGAAAACAAUUCUGGGACAAAACAAAUUUUGUUUUCUGGCAAAACUGGGGGAAAAAAAUCUAGGUUUGGUAGAAUUAUGAAGUUGUGAAAGAUUCUGUGGUUAUGCUUUGAAGUUUAAUGUAAGACUUUGGGAGGAAGUGAAAUAGUUUUCAUGGCUGAAAAACACUAUUUCUUGUAAGAGUAAAAAGAUGUUCUGUUGUGGGAACUUAUUUUUUAGAGGGAAAAGAGAAACACUUUUGCCAAGUUUACGAAAAGACGUAUCCAUUGGUGGAGAUGUAAAAAUAAAUUGUCACAGCUGUGAAGAAAUAUAUGGUACUUGUGUUCUGUGAUGAGGAAAGUUGGGUCAUAAUUACCAUUGAAAUGUUCCCAUAUUAUGUGGAGGAGUCUGAAAAAUUCCACUUUAUCUUCCUAACCUCCAGUACAUGAGGCCUCUAUGUACUGGAUACUCUAUGUACUGAGGGAGGACUGGGGACAAGGGGUUGGCACACAGGUGAAGUCAGCUGGAUCCUCAUCUAGGUGUAAAGCAAUAGCAAGUUAAUGAGUACGACGGCAGUCAAAGACAGCCCCCAGCCCCAUUCCCUCAUGCAAUUACCCUUGACCCAGGAUGUUCAGCUCUAUCACUGACCUCAGUUAGCUUGUUCUGUAUUAGACGCGAAGGUCUCUAAAGGCUAGCUACAAAGUGCCAUUUCCGGAGUAUAAUCAAAUAUCAGCAUUACAUUGUACCAUUUCAUCUCUGCUGAAGUUCUUGAGUUUAAAGAAGUUACUUCUGAUGCCUUCAAGUCUCAAUAUGUGGAUGGAUGCCACAUAUUUAGGAAAAAUAUAUUGAUUAAUACUUUAGUGGCUUUGAUAUAAAAUUUGAGAAAAACUCUUUAGAAAGUAAGAAUUUCAUUUCUGUAUAAAUGUUCAUGAACCCUAAAUAUUUUUGGAAAAUCAACUUGAUUUUCCAGAUAAAUUUUUGAAUUCCUCAAGGGACAAAGGGACUAUUUUUUAUUUUCUUUUAAUUUCCUGUUAAUUUAUUCAAGCAAUAUAUAUGCAUAUAAAAAUCCCUGUUUACCACUUUUAUUUUAUUUCCUUUCUUGAGAGAUAAGCAGUGUUAUCAGUUUGGCACAUAAACUUCCAAGUCUUUUAGCAUACAUGUCACCAAUAAGAUUACCAUUCAAUUCUUUCUUUUCAUCUGAGAUCUGUCCAGGACAUUCAACCUAAAAUCUUUAUUAUGCACUCAGUAUUUUCCAACAUAAAACCAGUACUCUUGAAGUAAAGCAAUGAUAUCUCAGAUUCUUUCAUAUCAGAUACCUAAACAAAGUUAAAAACUGGAGGAAAAGGAGGGUCAAGGCCGGUUAUUAA